UUCAAAACUAAGCAGAAACCUAAAAGAAAACAAAACCAGCCUCUGUUCGUCUCCCUCAAACCAUUCCAUCGCCAUUUUCGCAUCAGUAGCAGAGGUAAGUGCUUCUCACCCUUCACAGGGAAAUAACCAUCAGAAUAUCCAAGCCCUCUGCUUAAAACUGAGUUCUUCGGAACCAAACUGACGAAUUUCCGGUCUCAGCCUUUACCUUUCAAAAUCAUUCAUUUCCAAUCCCAAUCCUAUCUUUAUUAACAAUAUCUUCAACUGAAGCCGGAGCCUCCUCCAUCCAGUAUUCCAGUCGUUCAUGACUUCUUCCUUCCUUUGCAAGUGCAUGUGCAGUGGCAUUGGCCGAACAAGUUGUUACCCCUUUAUCUACCAUCAACGUAUCACCUUCCACACAGAUUUCCCGAAAGCCUAACUCUUCCCCGAAGGUGACAACAUGCAAGCACGCCCAAGCUUCUGCCAUUUCUGGUGUCGAGAUAUUUGUACUCGGGUUAAUGCAUGCAACCAUAAUUAAUCCAUCUUUAUUUCUUGCAAUUAUACCUGCCUUGGAAGUGUUAAGAUCUUGUUGAAACGAGGCAUCGAAAUUGAUUUUAGCCAUAUCUCCAUCAGGCGGUUCCCAUUUAACACUUUUAGUCACUGUUUUUGGCACCAAAGAACGUUCAAGUAACUCAUUUUCCACCAUGUAUGCAUUAAUAAAAGAAAUCACAUCUUGUUCUUUUGGUUUUAAACCCUCAUGGUAGGCUCUGUUUCUGUUGAACCAUAGUGCCCAGAAAGAAACUACAAGAAUCUUACAUUUUAUACAGUCAUUUUUAUGUUAGACGUCAGAAAUCGAAGCAAGAAAAGAUAGAGAAAGGCGAGGAAGAUUUUAGAGAA
This is a long non-coding RNA of Gossypium raimondii (Peruvian cotton), 873 nucleotides long. RefSeq lists it as uncharacterized. NCBI's taxonomy places the organism in Eukaryota, Viridiplantae, Streptophyta, Magnoliopsida, Malvales, Malvaceae. The record is from RefSeq and is a predicted model, not a curated record. The transcript is spliced from 2 exons.